ACAUUGACACUAUGACACCACCCAUCUACAGAGCUCAGCUUUCAUUUGCCGACAGGUUUUAGUCAAAAACGAUCUGCAUCACCUUUUAAAAACGAAUUCACCGAAAUACACUCAGGGAAUCAUGAACAUCUUAUUCUUCAGCAUUGCAUUUAACACUGUGCUCGUUUCAGGUUCCUCUCUCAGUGACCAAGUCACUCAGACUCCAGCCGACAUGUACGACACAGCAGGAGGAACAGCGACAAUCAGCUGUUCACACACUAUUACCGACUAUGAUCAAAUUCUCUGGUACAAGCAGUUAAACAGCAAACAGCUGCAGUUCCUGGGAUACAUUAAUGUAAACACUGGAUAUGCUGAACCUGGAGUUAAAGUGGAAUUUCAAGGGGGUGCGAGGAAAGAUGAGACCUCCACGUUAACAAUGAAAGGACUGGACAUGAACAGCAGUGCAGUUUACUUCUGUGCUGCUAGACACAGUGUUGCACAUCAACCCUCCUCAGUACACUAACCUCAUCACCACACAGUUUCAUGUAGAGGUUUACUUCCUCUCACAAGGUGGCAGUUUUUUAUCAAUCCUUUAUACAGAGUUGGUGAUGUGUGGUAGGAGUGAACAUGGUGACAUUGAUACUAUGACACCACCCACCUACAGAGCUCAGCUUUUAUUUGCUGACAGGUUUUAGUCACAGGGGAGGUAAAAACAAACCUGUAUGACCUUUUAAAAACAAAUUAUUCACCAAGUUAAAAUUCACAAGGAAACAUGAAUAUCUUAUAUUUAAGCAUUGUAUUUGGCACUGUGCUGGUUUCAGGUGAUAAACAUUUUAAAGCACUUCAAUGAACCUGGAUUUUAUCUUGCUGACAUUUUUCCUGUAGCUUAAAGUUUUUGUCUUCUUUUUUUU
Molecule: non-coding RNA, 890 nt
Organism: Solea senegalensis (Senegalese sole)
Lineage: Eukaryota; Metazoa; Chordata; Actinopteri; Pleuronectiformes; Soleidae
Source: the annotation of a RefSeq genome assembly